Molecule: long non-coding RNA, 3448 nt
Organism: Pecten maximus
Lineage: Eukaryota; Metazoa; Mollusca; Bivalvia; Pectinida; Pectinidae
Exons: 2
Source: RefSeq, a predicted model, not a curated record
UGGGGAAUACAAAAAUGGCAUUUUCCUCGCCCCAAAGGGAAUUAUUAACAUUUUCUUGAAAUAUUAUCUUCGGGGCGAGGAGAAUGCCAUCAAGUUCUGAAGAAUCACAUUAUAUUCAGGAAAAUGACAUUGUCCUUAAAAAAUGCCUCUGGUCCGAGGAAAUUGACAUUUUUGUCUGAGGAAAUUGCCAUUUUCCCGUCACGCCUGAGUGCUGCCAGGGUUUACCUGUGCAGCGGCGAGACGGCUAGCUAGCAGCACACGGCCGACCAGCUCGUUAUCGACACACGUGUACGAUUGACAACGCGGCCGACCACUACUGCAUGUCGCGUAAUCGGGCUUUACAUGGAAUGAAAUCCUAAAAUAAAAAAAGCUGUAACAACCAUGCUAUUAAUAAACGUAUCCGAUAUUUGCCUUACCUUUCUUAUUUUAAAUGGCACGGUUCGGUUCACGGUAUUUUUUAUCUGGCAUCACGGUACGCUCAUGAUUCGGGCCGUCUCCGAUUUUCUGCGCGGUAAUUUGUAUCGCCCAUUUAAGUUUGAUUUAUAUAGAAACUUUUCUGGAUCCGUGUUCAAAACAGGCGGUUUAAAUUCAUUUUAAAUCGUUUCAGAAUCAAAAUUGUCGAGGCGAAGUGUUCCCGAUCUACUGUCAGGAAUCCUGUAUUUUGAUUGGCUGAUGACGACUCACAGAUCUAGGUUAUUUCCUAACCUGAAUAAUGUUUCUCGCUGCUGCAUUAAAGGCGUAUUUUUGCUACAGAUCGUACGGCGUACACCAAUCAUGCUUAUCCUGCGUAAAUCCCGGAGCCCUCCACACUUGACCCCGACAGGAUAAACUAAUGGGGCACGCUGUAAAUGAUACGUAUCGUACCGUGAGACAAGUAUCUACGUAUCGUAGCCAUCGUGGAGGAAGCGUAUCGUUACAGCCACAUGAUAUUGAUAAACAUAUCUAAUAUUUGCCUUUUCAAGUCUGAUUUGUAAACUACAAAGAAUUACCACUAAGAUGUAUUUUACAGCCAAGGGUUCAUCUCGUAUAGAUUGAUAUUUGUAGGCUGGUUUACAAGGUUUCAAGGUUUUAUUGAUAUCACUUGACACACUAACGUGUGUAACAAGAGAUCACAUAUAUAUACAUAAUAACAAUGAUACAUGGCGUAAAGCUAUACAAUCUUACUAUGUUCUAUGCAAUAAAAAAUUGUGAUAAUUACAAAGAACUUUAAAGAAUUUCAAAAUUUUACCGAUUGUUUGAGUGUACUACCCAUCGACAGCCAUGCUCAUUUCUGGCAAAAAACACACUUAAUUGAUUUUAUUUGAGUAUAAAUACAGAUUUAAAAUGAAGACAUUUUUUAAAAGAUUCGCAUUGUUUAUUCAGAUCACUAUGACUUAAGGUUGGUUAAAAUAAAAAAAAGAUAUAUUACGAAUAGAUUAUGUGACGUUUUUGAUGUUUGUGUAACAUUGAAGAUAGUAGGUAAAAUGACCUCAAAGGCUAUUGAGAUUGAUUCCUUAUAAUUAGCAUUAUAUUAGAAAGUGCCCAAAUGCAUUGCUGAAAGUCAUAAUUACGUAAUCUAUUAUUAGUAGUGGUACUACAAACGUCCGUAUUCUGCGCAAUAUAGAAUGCCGAUGUAUUUAUUGCAAUGAAUUUUGCGGGAUUUUUUUUUCGAGUAAACACUAGUGCUUUUUAAGGAGACUGCGUGGCCCUUAAAAGGGCUGUGAUGGGUGGGUGGCCUUUUUAUGAUAAUACCUAUCUGCCUCAUCGUCUGGAUUGCAUUUUCUAUACUUUUUGUGAAGGCGAACUCCAUCGUUACUGUCAGAUGUGUGCCGUUCCUGCGUCGAAUGACAUUGGUAGUGUCAUGUCUCCAAAUCUUCUACUGUAAACUUUGGUUAGUAUUUUUUUUAGUAGAGACGCUUUCUUGUUGUAGUGUCGAUCGUGACGCGGAAAUAAUCCGGCCUGAAUGAAUACAGCGCUGUAUGCGGGAAAGUCACAUUCGACGUAAUGAUGUCCAAGUGUUGGUAGCUUUAGUCCGUAAUAACGUGAAACCAUAUUGUUUAUAAAGUUACAUAACUAUAAUUCUAUUUUUCAAUUUGUCAUUCUCAUUACAAAAUUUGAAACGAAAACCAUUGAAGCAGAUAUCUGGACAAGUGAACGUACAUGAUGGACAGAUGAAGAGAUUGAAAACAAUGGCAUACCAAAGUAAGUCCCAUAAACUAAAUGUAGUAGAGUGAUUUAAUGUAGUUUUUAAUAAAAUAUAUAAAACAUUGAUGCUGUGUUGUUUUGUUAUAUAUAUAUACAUGUAUAUGUAUGCAUGUAUAGAAGACCAGUAUGCAGUAUUUUACCUGUAAUAUGCCCAACAUGUACUUUAAUUUGAAUUUUCGAAUGCAGUGGAACCACGAGAAAUCUUCGAGUUAUCGGGACAGAAAGACAAAAGUGGGUAUAUUUUAAGACACUGACCAUGAAUUAUAUUUAUCCUUCAGUGCUUAGCAAACAUGGUAGAAUUGACGUUUUAUCCGAUUUAAUAGACAGCGCUGACCGGCGACUGUUUCAUUUCUAAACGUAGAUUAGUUCCGCUUGAGCGAGCGGGUAGAUGAAUUGUUGACUAUCGUGUGUACUGUUAUCGGCGACCGCCUUAAAUCUCUAUAAAAACCGCCCAAUGGGGAGGCAGACAAAUCGUCACUAUAGAACGGUUGCUUAAGUUAUAGUAAUUGAAUGACUAGACGAGUGUAUCACGAGAUAUUUCGGUGGGCGGUUACGAGAUCGCGUAGCGAACGAGUAACGCCCACCGAAAUAUCGAGUGUACACGAGUCUAGGACAUUCAAUAAAAUGGCUUGUAUCAUUGCCCGUCCAUCGGCUGUCAUUAAACUUCUAAAAACCAAUCAGAAUUGUCUCGGGUUUCUGAGUGAAUUCCCCGCCAAAAACAAUCAACGAUCAAUUAGGAGUACAUUUCCCGCCAAAAACGUUAUCAGUUACAUGUAGUUCAAUGCGCACCCGACUUUGUAAGCAGCAGGAUGUCAACCCCUUCAGCUAGCUUAAUGGUCAGUUUAAAGCACAGGGAUUUCCUUUCAUUACAAGGGGAUGAUUUUGACGACAUUGUGUUAUCUCAAGCAUUCAAGGAUAUAGAAAACGAAGUGAAAGUUUUUGAUGGGAUUUCCGACAUGUCGCUGACACCUAACGGGAAGGGGAUGCAAAACAUAUUUAAGAGGACUGGAAUACACCACAUUACCAGCAAGAACAGACAUUAUUACAACCAAGAAGGUGACCGAUGUAUUCCGGAGUACUUUGAUAUGUACAAUGAUGUUUAUACAGGAGACUUCUCGGAGGAACCCCCAUUUGUUAUGGAAGUCAGGUCGUCGGUGUAAACAAACCAAAACAACAUGUGAAAGUGAAAGGAAAUUACACACAACUUACACUAUUGUACAAAUGCGGCGAACUGGACAACUGUUACGCGUUAUGUUAAAUUUGU